This 484-nucleotide ribosomal RNA is filed under the name uncultured bacterium. RNAcentral's name for it is "partial 16S ribosomal RNA". It matches the Rfam family "Bacterial small subunit ribosomal RNA", at positions 30 to 507 of the family's 1533-position model. The record is from RNAcentral.
AUUGAACGCUAGCGGGAUGCUUUACACAUGCAAGUCGAACGGCAGCGCGGACUUCGGUCUGGCGGCGAGUGGCGAACGGGUGAGUAAUGUAUCGGAACGUGCCCAGUAGCGGGGGAUAACUACGCGAAAGCGUAGCUAAUACCGCAUACGCCCUACGGGGGAAAGCCGGGGAUCGUAAGACCUUGCACUAUUGGAGCGGCCGAUAUCGGAUUAGCUAGUUGGUGAGGUAACGGCCCACCAAGGCGACGAUCCGUAGCUGGUUUGAGAGGACGACCAGCCACACUGGGACUGAGACACGGCCCAGACUCCUACGGGAGGCAGCAGUGGGGAAUUUUGGACAAUGGGGGCAACCCUGAUCCAGCCAUCCCGCGUGUGCGAUGAAGGCCUUCGGGUUGUAAAGCACUUUUGGCAGGAAAGAAACGUCGCGGGCUAAUACCCCGUGGAACUGACGGUACCUGCAGAAUAAGCACCGGCUAACUACGUG